RNAcentral lists this unclassified non-coding RNA (376 nucleotides) under uncultured bacterium. Its description in RNAcentral is "contains 16S-23S intergenic spacer region". The record is from RNAcentral.
UCCGAGUUGACCCCGGCAGUCUCCCAUGAGUCCCCGGCUUAACCCGCUUGCAACAUGGAACGAGGGUUGCGCUCGUUGCGGGACUUAACCCAACAUCUCACAACACGAGCUGACGACAGCCAUGCAACACCUGUGUAGGGCCCUUGCGGACACCGUGUCUCCACGGCUUUUCCCUGCAUGUCAAGCCCAGGUAAGGUUUUUCGCGUAGCGUCGAAUUAAACCACACGCUCCGCUGCUUGUGCGGGCCCCCGUCAAUUCCUUUGAGUUUUAGCCUUGCGGCCGUAGUCCCCAGGCGGGACACUUAUUGCGUUAGCUACGGCACAGAGGGGGUCGAUACCCCCCACACCUAGUGUCCAUCGUUUACAGCGUGGACUAC